AGAUUGAACGCUGGCGGCAUGCUUUACACAUGCAAGUCGAACGGCAGCACGGGGGCAACCCUGGUGGCGAGUGGCGAACGGGUGAGUAAUGCAUCGGAACGUAUCCUUAAGUGGGGGGAUAACGCAUCGAAAGAUGCGCUAAUACCGCAUAAUCUCUGAGGAGAAAAAGCAGGGGAUCGCAAGACCUUGCGCUUUUUGGAGCGGCCGAUGUCUGAUUAGCUAGUUGGUGAGGUAAAGGCUUACCAAGGCUUCGAUCAGUAGCUGGUCUGAGAGGACGACCAGCCACACUGGGACUGAGACACGGCCCAGACUCCUACGGGAGGCAGCAGUGGGGAAUUUUGGACAAUGGGGGCAACCCUGAUCCAGCCAUGCCGCGUGAGUGAAGAAGGCCUCGGUUGUAAGCUCUUCAGCGGAACGAAACGGUACGACGGUUAAUAACCGUAGACUACGUGACGGUAACCGGAACGUAAAGAAAGACGAACCGGACGUAAACCUACGUA
RNAcentral lists this ribosomal RNA (500 nucleotides) under uncultured soil bacterium. Its description in RNAcentral is "bacterial SSU rRNA". It matches the Rfam family "Bacterial small subunit ribosomal RNA", at positions 26 to 519 of the family's 1533-position model. The record is from RNAcentral.